This is a long non-coding RNA of Ailuropoda melanoleuca (giant panda), 5030 nucleotides long. RefSeq lists it as uncharacterized. Lineage: Eukaryota; Metazoa; Chordata; Mammalia; Carnivora; Ursidae. The record is from RefSeq and is a predicted model, not a curated record. The transcript is spliced from 10 exons.
CAGAUAAGGAGAAUCCUUCCAUCAUUAAAGACACAUUUUCCACAUGAGGAUUUUAAUGGACAUGAAUAGACACCGUAAGAUUGACAGAAUGAUUCCAGCGCAGUGUCAGCAGUAGCACAUACAAGAUGAAGUAGUUCAGUGCAGGCGGCUUCCUCGGGAUGCAGUGGACUGUCAACAGUUAGGGAGAAUUUCUCACUAGGUGAGUAUCUCUAGCUAUUUUGCUUUGCUCUGGUGGUGUCGGUUCCUAACUGAUAGUGCAUAGAUCUGUGUAAAUGUGGAGCCUGCUAGUCUCUCCACAAUCCAUUUGAAAGCUAAAGUUCCUUAAAAGUGGCAAACAUGCUCUGUAAGAGUAACUGUGGGCCAGGCAUUGUUCCAAGUGCUUUACGUGUAGUAACUCAUUGUAGCCUUACGACAACCCUAUGAGGGAAAACUAGAUCUUUGUUUUAGAAAUGAGAAAACUAGGAAAAGCCUGCAAAAUGCUUCUUCCUCCAUAGCUUCAAAAGGCAUCCUCCAAAGCAGGUACCCACAUGCAAAACUCCAAGAGGUAGAGUCAGGAUUUGGACAGAAGCAGCGGGGCUCUAGAGUCUGUCCUCCCAAGCAUUAUACUGUGGAUUUUCAGGAUGCCCACUGCCGGUGAACACGUCCAGGAGAGAGGGCAAGCGGAGUACUUCAUUGGCUUGAGGAUGACCUAACGUGCUCCGGAAGCCUGCAGUUAAUUCAGCAUGCUAACACUGACAGAAUGAAUGCCAGACAUCAGCAAGUAGUUGAGAGGUGGGGCACAUUGACCACAGCGCCGAGUCUGGGUCUCAAGGAGAAUGUUCUCAUGCUGUUUCUGUGGAAGAUGCUCCAGCUGGAAAGAGCUCUCCUCACAAACACAAGGAAUCAGUCUGCGUCUCAGCCAAGGCACCAUCCAAGCAGACAGACACAGAACUGAAUCUGCUAAGGAUAUUAGAAGAAUAAUGUUGGGGAAAGUAGGGUCAGAGGAGGGAACGUCAUGAAGUUCGUUCAGAAGAGAAUAAAAGGAGCAAGUAGACUUCCCUUCACAACGUAAACUGACCCCAUUCCAACAUGGUCUUUCGGAAAAGGAGCCAUCCUAGAGACACGUACUCAGCUGUGCCAGAGGAGAUGUUGGACAGAUUUCCAUGACAUAAGAAGUUGUGCUUCUCUUGAGUGAUGGCUUACUACAAUUCUUAGGACAUUACAUAUCUGAAACUGGAAGCUAUUUGGAGGAUAAUGACCACGACGUAGAGAGGAACUAUUGGAUUUCGUUGGUGCAGCACUAACAAAUACUUGGCUUGGAGAAGAUGAAGUCCAAGAUGGAUAUGGUUUGGCUUUCUGCCUGGAUCAAAAGUAGGAAAUGUAUUUGCCUUUGAGAAAAGGAUUUGUGACCUGACUUUUGUUUUCCAGUGCCGUUUUGUAGAAAUCUGCAACCGCACACUACCCAGAUUCAUCGUCAAUUAUACAUUUCUUGUACAUAUCUUCUAGGACUCAUAUGCAAGUUUCUCUAGGUUUUGUUACUAGGAGUAAAAUCCCUGGGUUAUAGUUUGGCUUUUAGCCAGCCAGAAGGACCUUCAAUAGCAGAGAAAAUUCUUCCUCUCCAACAGCUGGCACAGUCAGCAGGAUACCUCAACUUGCUGGACACAGCUCACCCCACACACUGCUACAGCUGAGAGAUCCUUGAGAAAUCUGACAAGCAGAGGCAAAAGGCAGAGAUUUCAAGGGGCUGACAUGGCAAGAAAUCUUAUCUCUGGAGUCUGAUGGAGCAAGAGUGGAAACUAUUUGGAAAUAGUGGCUGUAUUACUAAGGCUUUGAAUGGAAUGGUAUAUUUGGGAGAAAGAUGCAUAGACUUACGUAUGACCAGACAGCUUUGAAGAACUAAGGUGGACUUUAUGGAGCUAAUAAAGCCCUUGUAAAUAGAAGCCUGAUACUAGCUUAUGGAAUUCCCAGCAGUAUUACCAGAAAUGCAUCUUAUUAAAUACCUGAUCACUUGUACCUUAUAGACCUAACUUUGGAAGCACACCUGCCACACUACCUCCUGAAAGGAAAAGCAACUCUUUAACUGAACUCACCUAUUCUCAAGAUUAAAAGACUGGUUCAAUGAAAUAUGGAACACUCAUCAAUUCAGUUUCUGGACUACCAAAGUUAUUGGGGAAGUUUCAAGAUAGGACUAAAGCAGAACAGAGUGUGCUGACCCAAAAUAAGCAUCUUUGGCAGAAAGAUUAUUUUGAGCUAAUUAUUUUUAAAACACAGCAGACACAGGAAAAAGCCAGUAGAAGUUACGAUUUUGUAAGAGACAUUGGUUGACAUUUAUAAGGGAAAUCUCCAUUUAUAAGGGUGUCUCCCUUUCUGAACCAGGAAGAGAAGGCUGACUAAAUCUCUAGAAACUCCUAUCAGCCAUACCCUUGUUUACUCUGCUUUGCCUGAUAACUUCUCCUUAUAUCUUUUGUCUUUAGCUGUAGAUGGUAUUUAGGUGGUGGUUUGAAUCAUUCCAAGGACUUACUCAUGUUUCCCGGGUAUUUCCCAUACAUACAGGAGGGAUUUAUGUUAUUAAACUGUUUUUCUCUUGUUAGUCUGUACUUUAUUACAGGGGUUGGGUCCCAUCAAGAACCUAGAAGGGAGAGGGAAAAUUAUCUUUCCUCCCCUACAUAGUGGACACUCAGGCAAUAUUAAUUUGUCUUCCUGUCUUAGGGAAUCUUUGAGCUAAUAUGAUUAAAUGUAUGAUUUUCAAAAAUGUAUGAUUUUCAAAAAUAUAUCUUGAAUUUUUAUUAAUAUUCAUUCACUUCUAGGGAAGAUCUAUCAGCCUUUGUAUUAGGUUGAGAGUUAAUUUAAAAAAAUAGUGCAGAGUAUAACUCCUACCUAUACAAAUUAAGUUACUUUCAAGAUAUGGGAAGUUAGGUCUGAUUGUAGUUAAAAAUGUGAACAAUGUUUAUGUAACUUUAGUUAGGCAACAUCUGGAACUGAUCUUCAGAACUUUGAUUAACAGAAUCAGCGUGAUGAAUCCCAGAUGUUUAAACAUGGCUGUGUUUCUUAGACUCACUGGAUUAUGAGUGUGAAUACAUGGAAGGAAGGGAAACAUUUACAAGAACUAGGUGUCAAAGUGGCCAAGGGGGUAUUUGGGUGUUGGCUUAGUUGUGAGUUGAAGGGGAAGAGGUUCUAAAUGAAUUUCCCUCUUUAAAGUUUUAUACGUGUUAUUUUUAAAAAGCCCCAAUCUUUGAUAACCUCAGUAGUAUGUCUUAAUAACUUUACUCAUAUUUGUUCCUGCACAAGUAUAUUUUUGUGUAUCUACUAUAGUUAAAGUUCUGUGGUCAGAAAGAUAAAUAAUAAACAUUCUCUGCCUUUGAGUCACUCAGUUUAGUGGAGGAAAUGGGUAUGUGAACAGUAAUUAUAACUGCCAUAUUAAAGGGCUGAGUACAGAAAGUAACUAAGAGUGCCAGGGAAGGUAGGACAGUUUUAAAGAGAAUGAGAUGUGGGGCUCAGGGUUCCUGUACAUUAUUGCUACAAGCUGCAUUUAGCUUUGCUAAUGUAACUUCUAUAUAAUUAUAGGUCCAUUAGAUCAUGGGACUCUUUGUCAUGUCAUAAAACAGCAAUUUUUGAAAUCAUAAAACCAAAGUACUUUGACAAAGCACUCCACGAACAUAAUGGUAAAAAAAGAUUAGCAAUCAUAUGGACUUCACAUCAUUUGGUAAAGGUUCUAGAAAAACAUAUUUUAGUCUUUCUUUCCCACAAAUUGUGCUUUUAAGUGAAGGAAUGCCUUUUCCUUUUGCAGCUUUUUUCUUGCUCUCAUGCUUGACCAAUGUUGUGGACACAAAAGUAAAAUCGUAACUGUUCAGAGUCCAAAAUUACUUUAGAAGCCUUGGGGGGAAAGCUGUGUCCUGUUUUGUGACAUACUUUAGUUUUCAUAAAUUCUCCAUCUUCCCCCCCAAAGAUCAACUCUGAGUGAAAGGAAACAAUGGAGAGAACCCAAAUGCACUAUUGACAGCAAUUUUGAAGAACAAAUAAAAACCUAAAAUGCGUUAAUAGCACAGUUUCAGAGGUAGAAGAGGGGGAUUAAGUAUAAAAUAGUAACUUGAUGACAAGAAUAUAUAGGCUAAUUCUUAUGCAAAAGUUUUCAGGGAAAACGAAUGCCAUAGGCUCAAAUGUGCUCUAACUCCUUCCUUUUGCCAGCCAUGACUAGCCAUUGACCACUUUUGUAUCAUAUUCAAUGUCUUAAUACCUCCUUUUCUAUCACCCAUCAAAUCUAAACUGCCCAUUUAGUUUUUGAAAUUGUUUCCUCUGAACAAAUCUACCUAUCUCUACUUCCAGAGAACCUUAACCAACAGACCUGGGCUUUUAAAAAUUGACCUGACUGGAGCCAUUUCUAAAAUAGAGCCAGAGUGGUUUACACAGCUUUUGUUUAAACGGGGCCAAAACAUUUGGACUAGGCAAAAUGGCCAUUGCUAGAAAAUCAGCAGGAGAAAGAACAUUCUGAUCAUAAGACUGAUACCUAUGGACCUUCUAAAGAUAAAACUAGUAGUUAAAACCAGUACUCAAUACAUAACCCAGAGUGGCUUAGCUUGUUAACCCCAUAGAAAAAUAUUUUCUUCAACUAAUGUAAUUGCCCCCUUCCUUUCCCUCACAGAAAUUCAUGGCUUUCACCCAAUAAGCUGGACGAUAUUUGGGUUUCUCCCUGAUUUUGUGCUCUCCUCUAAUAUCACUCAAUUGCCACUCAUUGUGGCUUUUUAUUUUCAGGUUGAUACUAAUUUCCCAAAACUGUGUUUAAAUGUCAGUUGCUUAGAAAGGACUCCCUCAGUCAUCUAGGUUCGGUAAAAUCCACUUGUCACACAUGUCCAUAUUACCCCCGUCCCAUGGUCCUCAUCACACUUGUAAAUGCACGCUCAGGGUCUUCCUCACCUGACUGUAAGUUCCAGGAGAACAGGAACUUUUUUAUAUCUGCAUCAAUCAUUUUAUCUCCAGCUCAUCGUAUUCACACAGGAGAUACUCGUUGAAAAGAAUACAUUCGAUAUUUUUAUCACUGUAGUAGCUUAUGCCCU